GACGAACGCUGGCGGCGUGCUUAACACAUGCAAGUCGAACGGAAAGGCCCUGCUUUUGUGGGGUGCUCGAGUGGCGAACGGGUGAGUAACACGUGAGUAACCUGCCCUUGACUUUGGGAUAACUUCAGGAAACUGGGGCUAAUACCGGAUAGGAGCUCCUGCUGCAUGGUGGGGGUUGGAAAGUUUCGGCGGGUGGGGAUGGACUCGCGGCUUAUCAGCUUGUUGGUGGGGUAGUGGCUUACCAAGGCUUUGACGGGUAGCCGGCCUGAGAGGGUGACCGGCCACAUUGGGACUGAGAUACGGCCCAGACUCCUACGGGAGGCAGCAGUGGGGAAUAUUGCACAAUGGGCGGAAGCCUGAUGCAGCAACGCCGCGUGCGGGAUGACGGCCUUCGUGUUGUAAACCGCUUUCGCCUGUGACGAAGCGUGAGUGACGGUAAUGGGUAAAGAAGCACCGGCUAACUACGUG
Molecule: ribosomal RNA, 468 nt
Filed under: uncultured bacterium
Lineage: Bacteria
Description: partial 16S ribosomal RNA
Rfam family: Bacterial small subunit ribosomal RNA
Source: RNAcentral